AUUGAACGCUGGCGGCAGGCCUAACACAUGCAAGUCGAGCGAGCGGCGGACGGGUGAGGAAUGUCUGGGAAACUGCCUGAUGGAUGGGGAUAACGACUGGAAACGGUAGCGACUACCGCAUACCAUCAGAUGUGCCCAGAGGGGAUUAGCUAGUAGGUGGGGUAACGGCUCACCUAGGCGACGAUCCCUAGCUGGUCUGGGAGGAUGACCAGCCACACUGGAACUGAGACACGGUCCAGACUCCUACGGGAGGCAGCAGUGGGGAAUAUUGCACAAUGGGCGCAAGCCUGAUGCAGCCAUGCCGCGUGUGUGAAGAAGGCCUUCGGGUUGUAAAGCACUGUCAGCGGGGAGGCGUUACCCGCACAAGAAGCACCGGCUAACUCCGUGCCAGCAGCCGCGGUAAUAC
Molecule: ribosomal RNA, 406 nt
Filed under: uncultured bacterium
Lineage: Bacteria
Description: partial 16S ribosomal RNA
Rfam family: Bacterial small subunit ribosomal RNA
Source: RNAcentral